AUGAGAAGGCUUUUGUGUGUGGCCCUGCAUUUUGCUGUCUUCAGGUGUGGGGGCCCAGACAGGGGUGAUGCAAAGCUCAGCCCUGGGCGCUGGGUUGCUGGGAGGCACGGGCAGGGAGGGGCCCAUUGGGUGGGGAGGGGCACACUCCCAUUCCCCCGAGGCUGUGCCAUUUGCUUGGCUCCUAACCCAAGGCACUCUUCGCUAACUCCUCCAGGCUCAGCAGGGGGACUGUUCUCACAAGCUACGAACCAAACCGGAAUCUACUUCCCUUCACUGAGACAUCUGGGGAGUGUUGCUUCUGAAACUAUUUUUGGUGUGAACAUGUCGCUCAAGCUGCCGCAGCUAUGUGGGAAUUUUGAAGUGUCAAAGGCGUAUGACUGCAGCUGGGCGGAGGCGAGUGGGCAGGGUUAUUACAAAGCCCAGCCAGCUCCUUUUCAGCUCCCUGCUCACCUCGGCUCUGAACGCCUUAGAAGGGCUGCACCCAGGUUAGGAUGCAAACGGUGGCACAGGUGUGGCUGGGAGGAGCUGGUGGUCUGGCAGAGGGGGCCUUACGGGCCUGGGGACCCUUGGCAUCCUGGGAGAUCCUUGGAGGUGAUUCGUGGAGGGUUCCUUGGAGAAUGCCGGGGCUGUGUUUGCAGAUGGUUUCUCCAGCCCUCGCCACAGCGCACUGCCCACGGCAGGUCCUUCUACCUGGCACGGGGCGCUCACAGCCCACGCCACGGGCUUUCUAGUUGUGCAGGAAGAACAACACUCAGACUCGGAUGCGAAUGUGAGUGGGGUCCCCAGGGCUAGGAGGGAGCCUUCUGCUUUACCACAUCUUCAUGGGAGAAGCUAA
This 835-nucleotide long non-coding RNA is filed under the name Oryctolagus cuniculus (rabbit). Its description in RNAcentral is "lncRNA (ENSOCUG00000035354.1)". The record is from RNAcentral. Lineage: Eukaryota; Metazoa; Chordata; Mammalia; Lagomorpha; Leporidae.